This 814-nucleotide long non-coding RNA is filed under the name Eutrema salsugineum. RNAcentral's name for it is "long non-coding RNA (ESAL_LNC002112)". Lineage: Eukaryota; Viridiplantae; Streptophyta; Magnoliopsida; Brassicales; Brassicaceae. The record is from RNAcentral.
AAGAUUUCAGUUAUUGCUUUGAUUGUUACUUGGAGUUACUGAUUGACUAGGUAAGUAUCUAUAAACUGUUUUAAUAAAUAUAAUUUAAUUUAUUUAAAGUAUAAGUAAUUUAACUGAUUUUAUAUGCAUGUUAAUACGAUUAUGUGUAACAACAUGAUUUUGUAUUAGUCAUACAAUUGCAAAUAUUUAGCAAAUGGAAAGAUGUCUUCAUGAAACAUCACGUUUUUUUAAAUGUGAACUGUGUUUGUUUCAACAUCAAAUAAUUUGUAACCUUUAUAUCCAGCAGGAUAACUGAGGAAGAUGCACGGUCUUAAACGUGGUUGAAACUUAUGUCUGCUCUUUGAAGAAGUAAGACAACCGAAGACACGAAUUCCACUGUAAUCUGCCUUUUUGAAAGUAAGAACUUCGAAUAGAGAUUUGUUUUGAAGGAAAAGAGUAAGCAAUCUGUUGAUUAGGAAAAUAACAGUCAAAAUGCACUCUCCCCAAAACUCCAAUGGCAUGUGUGACUGAAACAUGAGAGAUCUUGCCACAUUUAGUAUGUGUUGGUGCUUCCUCUCGACGACUGAGUUCUGCUCUAGAGUUCCGGACAAGAAUGGUAAGGAAUGAUACCUUUCUUCUUAUACAAAUCCCUGAAUCUCUGGAGCAUUAUCAGAUCGAACACUAUACUGAGUCUUAACCAUCCGUAAAAACUUGAGAAACAUAGUCAAAACCUCAUCUUUUGUUCUGAGCAGAUAUAUCCAGGUGACCCGAGUAUAAAAUCUGAUUAUAAAAUUGUAUGAUCAAUUUUUAUCUAGUUUUUUAUAUAAAUAUAAUU